This 865-nucleotide ribosomal RNA is filed under the name Plasmodium praefalciparum (nom. ined.). Its description in RNAcentral is "Plasmodium sp. gorilla clade G1 rRNA". Lineage: Eukaryota; Apicomplexa; Aconoidasida; Haemosporida; Plasmodiidae. The record is from RNAcentral.
CUCCUAUUUUUAUUGUACUGAAGGCAAGUUAUUUUCAUGUCCUACUCAUCUAUAUCGCAACCUACUUUUAUACAUAUUUUUUUUUAUAAAAAAGUAUGUGUAAAAGAAAAAGCAAUUUAAUACAAUCUGUCUCAGGCGUUGUAAUUUUUUUAUGACGUUUAAAUAGUAUUGACACUAAUGUCGCGAAGGAAAAACGUAAAAUUGUAAUAUAUUUUAUAUUUUUUAAAUAGGCUUUUCUUAUUAUAAGAAAAGCUUGUUUAUACAUAUAGGUUUUAUAUACUUUUUCGUGAAGAGAAGUAUAUAUAUAUAUGUCUAUAUGUCCUGUACUAUGUAUCACUGAGUAUAACAGUUGUAUUUAAAAAAUUGGGUUAUAUGUGUAUAAAGCAUAUAAUUAAAAUAUUAAGAGUUAUGAAGAAUGCAUACAAUAAUAUAUAUAUAUAUAUAUAUAUAUUAUUGCUUCAUAAUAUCUGAACAACUUUUGUUAGGAAGUGUACAUAUAGAUCUAGCUAGUUGUACCUCACGUUCUCGCUCAGAGGAUUAUUUGAAAGACAGAUAGGCCUUAUACAAUAAUGUCAUAUUUAUUUAUGGCAUUAGCUUUUUAGCACGUAUAAGCUCUUACAUAGGAUAUUUCGGUAUGGACGAUCUUUGACAACUUGUCGUUUUUGUUUGGUGAACCCACACACUCGCGUCAGUUCUUGGUGACCCUGUAUCGAUCUUGUCACUAUGAAUAGAUACAUUGCCUUUUUGUGGCUAUAUAUAUAUAUAUAUAUAUAUAUUGUAUAUAUAUAUAUGUAUGUAUGUAUGUCAACAUAAGAUGUAUCUAUUGAGAGGGACUUUUAGAAAAUAUACAGCCAGAGGAUAAAAA